RNAcentral lists this ribosomal RNA (2883 nucleotides) under Escherichia coli. RNAcentral's name for it is "bacterial LSU rRNA". It matches the Rfam family "Bacterial large subunit ribosomal RNA". Lineage: Bacteria; Pseudomonadati; Pseudomonadota; Gammaproteobacteria; Enterobacterales; Enterobacteriaceae. The record is from RNAcentral.
UUAAGCGACUAAGCGUACACGGUGGAUGCCCUGGCAGUCAGAGGCGAUGAAGGACGUGCUAAUCUGCGAUAAGCGUCGGUAAGGUGAUAUGAACCGUUAUAACCGGCGAUUUCCGAAUGGGGAAACCCAGUGUGAUUCGUCACACUAUCAUUAACUGAAUCCAUAGGUUAAUGAGGCGAACCGGGGGAACUGAAACAUCUAAGUACCCCGAGGAAAAGAAAUCAACCGAGAUUCCCCCAGUAGCGGCGAGCGAACGGGGAGCAGCCCAGAGCCUGAAUCAGUGUGUGUGUUAGUGGAAGCGUCUGGAAAGGCGCGCGAUACAGGGUGACAGCCCCGUACACAAAAAUGCACAUGCUGUGAGCUCGAUGAGUAGGGCGGGACACGUGGUAUCCUGUCUGAAUAUGGGGACCAUCCUCCAAGGCUAAAUACUCCUGACUGACCGAUAGUGAACCAGUACCGUGAGGAAAGGCGAAAAGAACCCCGGCGAGGGAGUGAAAAGAACCUGAAACCGUGUACGUACAAGCAGUGGGAGCACGCUUAGGCGUGUGACUGCGUACCUUUGUAUAAUGGGUCAGCGACUUAUAUUCUGUAGCAAGGUUAACCGAAUAGGGGAGCCGAAGGAAACCGAGUCUUAACUGGGCGUUAAGUUGCAGGGUAUAGACCCGAAACCCGGUGAUUCAGCCAUGGGCAGGUUGAAGGUUGGGUAACACUAACUGGAGGACCGAACCGACUAAUGUUGAAAAAUUAGCGGAUGACUUGUGGCUGGGGGUGAAAGGCCAAUCAAACCGGGAGAUAGCUGGUUCUCCCCGAAAGCUAUUUAGGUAGCGCCUCGUGAAUUCAUCUCCGGGGGUAGAGCACUGUUUCGGCAAGGGGGUCAUCCCGACUUACCAACCCGAUGCAAACUGCGAAUACCGGAGAAUGUUAUCACGGGAGACACACGGCGGGUGCUAACGUCCGUCGUGAAGAGGGAAACAACCCAGACCGCCAGCUAAGGUCCCAAAGUCAUGGUUAAGUGGGAAACGAUGUGGGAAGGCCCAGACAGCCGAUGUUGGCUUAGAAGCAGCCAUCAUUUAAAGAAAGCGUAAUAGCUCACUGGUCGAGUCGGCCUGCGCGGAAGAUGUAACGGGCUAAACCAUGCACCGAAGCUGCGGCAGCGACGCUGAUGCGUUGUUGGGUAGGGGAGCGUUCUGUAAGCCUGCGAAGGUGUGCUGUGAGGCAUGCUGGAGGUAUCAGAAGUGCGAAUGCUGACAUAAGUAACGAUAAAGCGGGUGAAAAGCCCGCUCGCCGGAAGACCAAGGGUUCCUGUCCAACGUUAAUCGGGGCAGGGUGAGUCGACCCUAAGGCGAGGCCGAAAGGCGUAGUCGAUGGGAAACAGGUUAAUAUUCCUGUACUUGGUGUUACUGCGAAGGGGGGACGGAGAAGGCUAUGUUGGCCGGGCGACGGUUGUCCCGGUUUAAGCGUGUAGGCUGGUUUUCCAGGCAAAUCCGGAAAAUCAAGGCUGAGGCGUGAUGACGAGGCACUACGGUGCUGAAGCAACAAAUGCCCUGCUUCCGUGAAAAGCCUCUAAGCAUCAGGUAACAUCAAAUCGUACCCCAAACCGACACAGGUGGUCAGGUAGAGAAUACCAAGGCGCUUGAGAGAACUCGGGUGAAGGAACUAGGCAAAAUGGUGCCGUAACUUCGGGAGAAGGCACGCUGAUAUGUAGGUGAAGCGACUUGCUCGUGGAGCUGAAAUCAGUCGAAGAUACCAGCUGGCUGCAACUGUUUAUUAAAAACACAGCACUGUGCAAACACGAAAGUGGACGUAUACGGUGUGACGCCUGCCCGGUGCCGGAAGGUUAAUUGAUGGGGUUAGCGCAAGCGAAGCUCUUGAUCGAAGCCCCGGUAAACGGCGGCCGUAACUAUAACGGUCCUAAGGUAGCGAAAUUCCUUGUCGGGUAAGUUCCGACCUGCACGAAUGGCGUAAUGAUGGCGCUGUCUCCACCCGAGACUCAGUGAAAUUGAACUCGCUGUGAAGAUGCAGUGUACCCGCGGCAAGACGGAAAGACCCCGUGAACCUUUACUAUAGCUUGACACUGAACAUUGAGCCUUGAUGUGUAGGAUAGGUGGGAGGCUUUGAAGUGUGGACGCCAGUCUGCAUGGAGCCGACCUUGAAAUACCACCCUUUAAUGUUUGAUGUUCUAACGUGGACCCGUAAUCCGGGUUGCGGACAGUGUCUGGUGGGUAGUUUGACUGGGGCGGUCUCCUCCUAAAGAGUAACGGAGGAGCACGAAGGUUGGCUAAUCCUGGUCGGACAUCAGGAGGUUAGUGCAAUGGCAUAAGCCAGCUUGACUGCGACUGACGGCGCGAGCAGGUGCGAAAGCAGGUCAUAGUGAUCCGGUGGUUCUGAAUGGAAGGGCCAUCGCUCAACGGAUAAAAGGUACUCCGGGGAUAACAGGCUGAUACCGCCCAAGAGUUCAUAUCGACGGCGGUGUUUGGCACCUCGAUGUCGGCUCAUCACAUCCGGGCUGAAGUAGGUCCCAAGGGUAUGGCUGUUCGCCAUUUAAAGUGGUACGCGAGCUGGGUUUAGAACGUCGUGAGACAGUUCGGUCCCUAUCUGCCGUGGGCGCUGGAGAACUGAGGGGGGCUGCUCCUAGUACGAGAGGACCGGAGUGGACGCAUCACUGGUGUUCGGGUUGUCAUGCCAAUGGCACUGCCCGGUAGCUAAAUGCGGAAGAGAUAAGUGCUGAAAGCAUCUAAGCACGAAACUUGCCCCGAGAUGAGUUCUCCCUGACUCCUUGAGAGUCCUGAAGGAACGUUGAAGACGACGACGUUGAUAGGCCGGGUGUGUAAGCGCAGCGAUGCGUUGAGCUAACCGGUACUAAUGAACCGUGAGGCUUAACCU